Acanthosepion pharaonis is the source of this 98-nucleotide non-coding RNA. NCBI's taxonomy places the organism in Eukaryota, Metazoa, Mollusca, Cephalopoda, Sepiida, Sepiidae. The record is from the annotation of a GenBank genome assembly.
UUAGAACACCGGUUCGCGUUCGAACACCAGAGUUAAGCAACUUUGAGUCUGGUCAGUAUUUAAAUUGGUGACCGCUCUGGACUACCAGGUGCUGUAAU